GUAGGGAAUAUUGCACAAUGGGGGAAACCCUGAUGCAGCGACGCCGCGUGAGUGAUGAAGGCCUUCGGGUCGUAAAGCUCUGUCGUAUGGGACUAACACAAUGAAGGUACCAUGCAAGAAAGGAUCGGCUAACUUCGUGCCAGCAGCCGCGGUAAGACGAGGGAUCCUAGCGUUGUUCGGAAUCAUUGGGCGUAAAGCGGGUGUAGGCGGAUUUAUAAGUCAGGUGUGAAAUCCAAGGGCUCAACCCUGGAAGUGCACUUGAUACUGUAAAUCUUGAGUGUGGUAGAGGUUACUGGAAUUGUUGGUGUAGUGGUGAAAUACGUAGAUAUCAACAGGAAUACCGGAGGCGAAGGCGAGUAACUGGGCCAGCACUGACGCUGAGACCCGAAAGCGUGGGGAUCAAACAGGAUUAGAUACCCUUGUAGUCC
Molecule: ribosomal RNA, 428 nt
Filed under: uncultured bacterium
Lineage: Bacteria
Description: bacterial SSU rRNA
Rfam family: Bacterial small subunit ribosomal RNA
Source: RNAcentral